GUUAACACAGAGGAAGAGAUUCAAAGGCUUAGGCAGGAGACUGGGUUGCUACAGUGGAUUUGUCACUUAAAAUCUACUUAUUUACACUGGGUGAGUCCAGAUCACAUACUUUUCAGCAGUACUUUGAGAAACAGAUUUGUGAGGAGAACCCCAUCAUCCCUAAAUGCCAUGAUUGCCCUUCUCUGUAGGCCGGACCUUAAAAUGGAAACUGCAGUCACUCAAUUGAAAAAUUUAAAUGCAAUGGGAAUAACUGGAUUCCAGGGUAGCAGAGGCCAAGUGAAGGGACUCAUUUGACAAAGGCAAGGUGGACAUGGUUAUCAUAACAGACAGCAGAAGCAAAGCAACAGUCAGAAUAGUCUGACUCAUGUAGACCUGUGGCAUUGACUAAUUCACUGUAUGGGCAGCUCACUGUCUAUUUUCUUCUCCCUUCCCACCUAGUCUGUCUUGGCCUACUACAAUUUAAAUUAUCUGAGGUUGGGGAUUUUGUUUAAUGAUUGCUGUAUCUCCAGUGUCUAGAUUAGUGCCUGAUACUGGGUAAGCAUUAGAGAAUGGAUGCCUAAUAUAUA
Molecule: long non-coding RNA, 566 nt
Filed under: Homo sapiens (human)
Lineage: Eukaryota; Metazoa; Chordata; Mammalia; Primates; Hominidae
Description: non-protein coding lnc-POMGNT1-5:1
Source: RNAcentral